RNAcentral lists this ribosomal RNA (1705 nucleotides) under Salmonella enterica subsp. enterica serovar Gaminara str. A4-567. RNAcentral describes it as "partial large subunit ribosomal RNA". The stretch from base 323 to 396 matches the Rfam family "tRNA". Lineage: Bacteria; Pseudomonadati; Pseudomonadota; Gammaproteobacteria; Enterobacterales; Enterobacteriaceae. The record is from RNAcentral.
CAAACGUCCAUGACGUUUGCGAUGGAAGGAGAGACGCAACGGCAGCAAGGUGAAGAGACCAUUCAGCGAAUCGUUCGCCAGGCCAGCCGGUUACGGGUCGUUUUUGCCUCUGAUGAAGAGCUGGCUGCGCAUGAAUCGCGGCUUGAUCUGGUGCAGAAAAAGGGCGGAAGUUGCCUUUGGCGGGCGUAAUUUAUUCCUUUUGAGGCUAUAAAAAUCAUCCUUCGGGCGAUUUUUGCAGCAACUGAUUCAAAAGGUGAGAAAAAGCGUUGACGGGCGACACCGCAAACCGUAAUAUUCGCCUCGUUCCCAGCGGGAACAUAACGGAGCGGUAGUUCAGUUGGUUAGAAUACCUGCCUGUCACGCAGGGGGUCGCGGGUUCGAGUCCCGUCCGUUCCGCCACUUAUUAAGAGCCCUGAGCAUUAGCUCAGGGCUUUUUCUUUGCCUGUCAUUUAAUUAUUGCUCAAUUCGCAAAAAUCCUCUGCAUUUUUCGCUCUUUUUCUACAAAGCGCUGAAGGUCAUAAUCCCCUCAGUUAACGAACAUAGUGAUUAAAAAGAGGAAUUCUAUGACUAUCCCUGCAUUCGGUUUAGGUACUUUUCGCCUGAAAGACGACGUGGUUAUCGCUUCUGUGAAAACGGCGCUUGAACUGGGCUACCGUGCUGUCGACACUGCGCAAAUCUAUGAUAAUGAAGCGGCUGUUGGACAGGCGAUUGCUGAGAGCGGCGUACCGCGUAAUGAGCUGUACAUCACCACCAAGAUCUGGAUUGAAAACCUUAGCAAAGACAAGCUGAUCCCAAGCCUGAAAGAGAGCCUGAAAAAACUGCGUACCGAUUAUGUCGAUCUGACGCUGAUCCACUGGCCAUCUCCGGGUGAUGCCGUGUCUGUCGAAGAAUUUAUGCAGGCAUUGCUGGAAGCUAAAAAACAAGGGCUGACUCGCGAAAUUGGCAUUUCAAACUUCACCAUUCCGUUGAUGGAAAAGGCUAUUGCCGCGGUGGGCGCAGACCAUAUCGCCACCAACCAGAUUGAGCUAUCUCCGUAUCUGCAGAAUCGUAAGGUGGUUGACUGGGCGAAAGCGCACGGUAUCCAUAUCACCUCAUACAUGACGCUGGCCUAUGGUAAGGCGCUGAAAGAUGAAGUGAUUGCACGUAUCGCUGCUAAACAUAAUGCGACGCCGGCGCAGGUUAUUCUGGCAUGGGCAAUGGGUGAAGGUUACUCCGUGAUCCCUUCAUCCACCAGGCGUGAAAACCUGGCAAGCAAUCUGCUGGCGCAGGACCUGCAUCUGGAUGCUGAAGAUAAAAAUGCGAUCGCGGCACUGGAUUGCAACGACCGCCUGGUUAGCCCGGAAGGUCUGGCCCCUGAGUGGGAUUAAUUGCCUGACCCUUUGUACCCUUUACCCCUCUUUCACAGCUCCUUCGGGAGCUGUUCUUAUAUAUUCGCUCAAAAAGUCGAUAAAUGCCCGAAUGCGUGUGCUGACGGCGCGAUCGCUGUAGUAAACGGCGCUGAAAGGCAUUUCUACCGGCAGACGUUUAUCGGCCAGCAGUUCCACCAAUUCUCCCCGCGCGAUCUCUUUAUCAAUCAUAUAAUCUGAAAGACAUGCAAUGCCGUUACCGUUCAGGCAAAGCUGUUUUAACGUUUCCCCGCUGUUGGAAGAAAUCCCACAUUCAACCUCAUGGAGCUGCCCAUCGCUACAGGCUAUUGGCCAGGUAU